CAGUCGCCGCGGUAAUACGGAGGGUGCAAGCGUUAAUCGGAUUUACUGGGCGUAAAGCGUGCGUAGGCGGCUAAUUGAGUCGGAUGUGAAAUCCCCGAGCUUAACUUGGGAAUUGCAUUCGAUACUGGUUAGCUAGAGUGUGGGAGAGGAUGGUAGAAUUCCAGGUGUAGCGGUGAAAUGCGUAGAGAUCUGGAGGAAUACCGAUGGCGAAGGCAGCCAUCUGGCCUAACACUGACGCUGAGGUACGAAAGCAUGGGGAGCAAACAGGAUUAGAUACCCCCGUAGUCCCUGUCUCUUAUAA
Molecule: ribosomal RNA, 301 nt
Filed under: uncultured bacterium
Lineage: Bacteria
Description: partial 16S ribosomal RNA
Rfam family: Bacterial small subunit ribosomal RNA
Source: RNAcentral